This 319-nucleotide long non-coding RNA is filed under the name Mustela putorius furo (domestic ferret). Its description in RNAcentral is "lncRNA (ENSMPUG00000024732.1)". Lineage: Eukaryota; Metazoa; Chordata; Mammalia; Carnivora; Mustelidae. The record is from RNAcentral.
AUUUUACUUAGAGGGUAACUGACAGCCAUUAAUCCUGCCCUGAGGACUUACACCACCUCGUUUUUCUAACAGCUCUUCAGUCUCCACUAUGGAUAAGCUAGGUGGGCAGAUGCUCCUGCGAAGAUCAAAGGAGAGAGGACAGCUGGCACCGGCACGGCGUUGACAGAGUUGGGGACACACAGAGUGGAGACAAGAGAGGCUGACUCUGGCAGAAAGGAGACAACACAGUUCUAUGCGCCAGGAUUUCCAGGGUCCCCUCCAUGGCCUGGCUCUCGGUGGGAAGCAAACAAGAAAAAGAACUUGUGUGCGGAUGGAGAGC